RNAcentral lists this ribosomal RNA (505 nucleotides) under Adaliopsis alpina. RNAcentral describes it as "partial large subunit ribosomal RNA". The stretch from base 379 to 505 matches the Rfam family "Bacterial large subunit ribosomal RNA", at positions 2473 to 2600 of the family's 2925-position model. The record is from RNAcentral. Lineage: Eukaryota; Metazoa; Arthropoda; Insecta; Coleoptera; Coccinellidae.
UUUGAAUAUAAUUUAAAGUAGGGCCUGCCCACUGAUUAAAUUGAAGGGCCGCAGUAUUUUGACUGUGCAAAGGUAGCAUAAUCAUUAGUUUUUUAAUUGAAAGCUUGUAUGAAUGGUUUGAUGAAAAAAUAGCUUUUUUUAUCUAAUUUUAAAAGAAUUUUAUUUUUAAGUUAAAAAGCUUAAAUAUUUUUAAUAGACGAGAAGACCCUAUAGAGUUUAAUUUUUAGUAUUAAUUAAGUUUUUAGAAUUUUAUAAUUUUAUUAAUAUAUAAAAUUUGAUUGGGGUGAUUAAAAAAUUAAAUAAACUUUUUUUUAAAUUUUACAUUAAUAUAUGAUUAAAUGAUCCAUUUGAGUGAUUAAAAGAAUAAAUUACCUUAGGGAUAACAGCGUUAUUUUUUUUUAGAGUUCAAAUCGAAAAAAGAGAUUGCGACCUCGAUGUUGGAUUAAAGUAAAUUUUAGGUGUAGAACCUUAAAAAUUUGGUCUGUUCGACCAUUAAAACUUUACA